GCGGGUGAGGUGUUACCGGUUGCACUCCAGCCUUCCAAGCUGGCGGAACGGGUUCAAGUCCCGUCACCCGCU
This 72-nucleotide transfer RNA is filed under the name Actinomycetota bacterium. RNAcentral's name for it is "tRNA-Gly". It matches the Rfam family "tRNA". From Rfam's summary of the family: Transfer RNA (tRNA) molecules are approximately 80 nucleotides in length. Their secondary structure includes four short double-helical elements and three loops (D, anti-codon, and T loops). Further hydrogen bonds mediate the characteristic L-shaped molecular structure. tRNAs have two regions of fundamental functional importance: the anti-codon, which is responsible for specific mRNA codon recognition, and the 3' end, to which the tRNAs corresponding amino acid is attached (by aminoacyl-tRNA synthetases). tRNAs cope with the degeneracy of the genetic code in two manners: having more than one tRNA (with a specific anti-codon) for a particular amino acid; and 'wobble' base-pairing, i.e. permitting non-standard base-pairing at the 3rd anti-codon position. The record is from RNAcentral. Lineage: Bacteria; Bacillati; Actinomycetota.